UACGUAGGGGGCGAGCGUUGUCCGGAAUCAUUGGGCGUAAAGCGCGUGUAGGCGGCCCGGUAAGUCCGCUGUGAAAGUCCAGGGCUCAACCCUGGGAUGCCGGUGGAUACUGUCGGGCUCGAGUCCGGAAGAGGCGAGUGGAAUUCCAGGUGUAGCGGUGAAAUGCGUAGAUAUCUGGAGGAACACCGGUGGCGAAGGCGGCAUCCUGGACCGGUAUUGACGCUGAGGCGCGAAAGCUAGGGGAGCAAACGGG
This 253-nucleotide ribosomal RNA is filed under the name uncultured bacterium. RNAcentral describes it as "partial 16S ribosomal RNA". It matches the Rfam family "Bacterial small subunit ribosomal RNA", at positions 524 to 776 of the family's 1533-position model. The record is from RNAcentral.